CGCUACCUCUAACAGCCCUCACUAGGCCGCUACUUAGCCUCUCUGGGGGCCCGUGAUUGAUUUUUGGCCGAAAAUACGCUCAGCCCCAGGCCCUCCCCCGGAACCGUGGGCUAUAGCACACCAAUUUGGCCCGAAAAUGCCCCAUUAACAUCAUUUUGCAUAUUUGACCAUGAAAAUGGCCCCGCCAACCACAACAACAAAUACUAAGCCGCUUCUUAGACUAUCUUGGGGUUCCCGAUCAAUUUUUGGCCUAAAACAUGCCUGGGUCCUGAACCUACCCUCGC
This 284-nucleotide long non-coding RNA is filed under the name Capsicum annuum. Its description in RNAcentral is "long non-coding RNA (CANN_LNC020821)". Lineage: Eukaryota; Viridiplantae; Streptophyta; Magnoliopsida; Solanales; Solanaceae. The record is from RNAcentral.